AACGAACGCUGGCGGCAUGCCUAACACAUGCAAGUCGAACGAGAUCUUCGGGUCUAGUGGCGCACGGGUGCGUAACGCGUGGGAAUCUGCCCUUUGGUUCGGAAUAACAGUUGGAAACGACUGCUAAUACCGGAUGAUGACGAAAGUCCAAAGAUUUAUCGCCAGAGGAUGAGCCCGCGUAGGAUUAGCUAGUUGGUGUGGUACAGGCGCACCAAGGCGACGAUCCUUAGCUGGUCUGAGAGGAUGAUCAGCCACACUGGGACUGAGACACGGCCCAGACUCCUACGGGAGGCAGCAGUGGGGAAUAUUGGACAAUGGGCGAAAGCCUGACCCAGCAAUGCCGCGUGAGUGAUGAAGGCCUUAGGGUUGUAAAGCUCCUUUACCCGGGAUGAUAAUGACAGUACCGGGAGAAUAAGCUCCGGCUAACUCCGUGCCAGCAGCCGCCGUAA
Molecule: ribosomal RNA, 449 nt
Filed under: uncultured bacterium
Lineage: Bacteria
Description: partial 16S ribosomal RNA
Rfam family: Bacterial small subunit ribosomal RNA
Source: RNAcentral